UUAAAUGCCAUAUUUUGAAACAUCAAGGUGUCAACUAAAUAUAAUCUAAUUUUAUUUCUUUCUUUAUACUGAAUCACUUAAACAGGAUCAGGAACAUUUGUCUCAGAAUAUGGGAGUGAUAAGAUUGACUUGUUUCAUUAACGCCAUUGGAGGGGAAGCCCCAAAUUCAAGUAACGGCAACCACUCUUCAAAUCCAAAGCUGCCUCCGCUCCUUUCCGUUUCAAAGUCAUCAUGGGUCGUCAGAACUGAGGCAAGUUAAAUCUCUAUUUGCCUUUUUCUGUCUUUUUAUCUUUAAUUUCUUUUUUCUGGUGCUGACCAAAUUUUUUUAUGUUGGGGCGGGGGGUGUAAUACUUGUUUGAAUAUUUUUUUUAGUUCCAGUAAUUGAAUGGCUUACAUACGGUAAUAAAUUUUAUAGCUGUAUUUAGCAUUAGAAUCUUAAAAUUGUUGGAUGCUCUAAGUUCUAAGAUUCAUUUUCCACUUGAUGGUUGACCUGGAGUUACUCCAAAUUCUGUAUAGUUUAUCCAAUACAUAUCCAACAUGACUUUGUGUAUCAUGAUUUCAUGCAACAAAUUACUUGAAGGAACUCAAUUGGUUGAAAAAUAGAAAAGAAUACAUUAAGUUGUGUACCAAAUAAUGCUUAGGCAUCAUCAACUAUCCUAUGAAAACAUCAAGAAAUCCA
RNAcentral lists this long non-coding RNA (679 nucleotides) under Nicotiana benthamiana. Its description in RNAcentral is "long non-coding RNA (NBEN_LNC029874)". The record is from RNAcentral. Lineage: Eukaryota; Viridiplantae; Streptophyta; Magnoliopsida; Solanales; Solanaceae.